Molecule: long non-coding RNA, 2216 nt
Organism: Gallus gallus (chicken)
Lineage: Eukaryota; Metazoa; Chordata; Aves; Galliformes; Phasianidae
Exons: 2
Source: RefSeq, a predicted model, not a curated record
AUUGCAGCAAAGGCAAGGAGUGCUGGUUUGUGCCGCUCCAGUGGGUAAUUUCUGGAGGGAUGUUCAGGCUGUGCCUUUCAAUGGAGUGCCUUGGUGUGCCAGUCGCCAUUCCACCAGCCGACCAGACUUUGUGUUUGCUGAAGUAACAAUACCUUAUACUGCUUUCACAGUUGGGCACUGUUGCUGUGGUAACUGGAAAACAUGGUGGCAAAACAUCAGCUACAUAAACAAAAGCUCUAAUAAUAACUCAGGAGCUAUUUACCUUGUUAUCUUCGGUAUUUAGUGGUACAGUGGUCUCAUUUGUUAAAUAUUUCAUGUCUUGUAAACAUGUUAAUAUUACUGUCUGCAAGGUGUCUAGCUGAGCUUUAGUGUCAUUAUUAAGCAGACUUAGGCUGUACAGUAUCAGAAAAAAUAUGUAUAAGUACAGAAACUUUACUCCCGGAAAUCUGUUCGGAGCCAUAUUCAUACAGCUAUUGUGAUGUUUCAACUUUAAGGCCAAUUCACCCCUGCUAAUUUUAAUUAUCUCAUAGCAACACAAAACUGGAAUAAUACAGAGCAGAGAGGCCUCAGUUGGGUAUGAUCCAACUGGAUCCAAAAUCCAAGGAUUUUGCUGAUUCUUAUAAAUAACAGUUUUAAUUUACUUGUUGUCAAUUUUACUUUACAGGGCAAUAAUAGAGAUGACAAAAUGCACCUUUACGCCCUGUAACUAUUUUGUUAAGUACCAGAUUCAUUUGUUAUCUUUUGUAUUUGAAUUUGUGGGGCCCAUUUAUUUCAAAACAUAUCUAGUCCAUAACAUCGGGGAAGUAAUUCAUGGAAGUGCACCCACUAUGACUGCAUACACUCUUUGAAGAGGAACUUCCAACUCUGUGGACUAACCCUACUCAUGAGUGACAGGUUUCCCUCUUUACCAAGAAAGAUCUUUAGUGGAAGUCUAGUGAAAAUCACUGCAGUUGUCUGACAGCAUCCUAUAAAUGCAAUUGUAUGACACUAUUACCCUAAGUACUCCCUCUGAAAGUUUUUCACAUACUGCACAUUCUGGUUUUAUCUCCAAGAACUUUGUAGCCCUUUUAUUAAAAACAGACCUCAGAGACACUCUUUAAACAGAACAGAGAAUAUUACUUCAGUAAAUCAGGUCGGAAACUAUUUUGCAAAGCAGUUAGUCAUUAAUGAAAUCAUUCCAAAGGUCACUAAGUUUAGCUCAAUUUCCUUAUAGGUGGAGAUGAGAGCUCCGUGAAUAAUUAAUAGCAAAUGAGUGAAUGAAUUUCACCUUCCCACUGUAGUUACAAGAUCUUGCAGCAACUCACGAUACUCUCAAGAAUGUUCUGAAAGCAUUGUUGUGGUUGCAUCUCAUAGUUUCUACUCUUGAAAUGUUUGAGCUGGUCUGUCUCUCUGCUCCAUUCCCUCAUCUCUCCAAGCUAUGCUCCCUCAGUUCUCCUUGCAAUGGAAAUUCAAGACUGCAGGAGUACACAUACUUUAUCAGUGACAACGUGUCACAGAGCUACGGGAUGAGAGAAAAUACUUUUCCUCAAUGUCUCAAAGUCUUUCCACUGAGAGAAAAAAAAAGGUCCUGCGUUCCCAAAGAAGUUUGUCAAUGUAAUAGGAACCAUAUUCCAUGAGGAACUCUUGGGCUCCAGCUCUAGUUCCUGUUGCAGAAUGACAGAAGUAUCAAGUAAGAGCAAGUGGAGAAUCACUGAGGUCAAACAAGAGAACCUGCAAAGAAGACAAGCAUUUACAAUCACAUCCUUCUGAAACUAGGCAGCUUUCUCUGGUAUAAGAAAAACACUUUGUCUGAGGGCUGCAGUCUUAUCUGAAUGAGGAGAAGCAACUCUGUGAGCAAAGACAUUUCUCUAGAUUUAGAAAGACUAUGACAGUGACCUUUUCCAAAACUGUUUGUUAUACCGUUUAAGAGAAAGUGUGUAAUGCUCCCUACAGAGCAUUUUGUUUAGAAAUGGGGGCAUACAAUACAUCCCUGCACAACGAAGGCCUCUCAUCUGGCUAAAUUAUGUCAACAAAGUUGCUGUGAAUGCUGACGUGAAAAGUGCUUGCUUUGCAGACCGUAACAAAGGACAGGUUUAUUUCAUACUUGCUGGAACCUCUAAUACAAUGUACUUGAAGAUAGGCUUGAAAUAUUUGCUACAAGCUUUAGGUAUUUGAGAAAUUAAAGAAAUGCUUUUGUCCUUCAAACACAAGAAUGUUAAUAAAUUGUACUUCCCGAA